Molecule: ribosomal RNA, 490 nt
Filed under: uncultured bacterium
Lineage: Bacteria
Description: partial 16S ribosomal RNA
Rfam family: Bacterial small subunit ribosomal RNA
Source: RNAcentral
AUUGAACGCUGGCGGCAGGCCUAACACAUGCCAGUCGAACGGUAACAGAAAGCAGCUUGCUGCUUUGCUGACGAGUGGCGGACGGGUGAGUAAUGUCUGGGAAACUGCCUGAUGGAGGGGGAUAACUACUGGAAACGGUAGCUAGUACCGCAUAACGUCGCAAGACCGAAGAGGGGGACCUUCGGGCCUCUUGCCAUCGGAUGUGCCCAGAUGGGAUUAGCUAGUAGGUGGGGUAAAGGCUCACCUAGGCGACGAUCGCUAGCUGGUGUGAGAGGGUGACAAGCCACACUGGAACUGGGACACGGUCCAGACUCCUACGGGAGGCAGCAGUGGGGAAUAUUGCACAAUGGGCGCAAGCCUGAUGCAGCCAUGCCGAGUGUAUGAAGAAGGCCUUCGGGUUGUAAAGUACUUUCAGCGGGGAGGGAGGGAGUAAAGUUAAUACCUUUGCUCAUUGACGUUACCCGCAGAAGAAGCACCGGCUAACUCCGUG